This 229-nucleotide ribosomal RNA is filed under the name uncultured bacterium. RNAcentral's name for it is "partial 16S ribosomal RNA". It matches the Rfam family "Bacterial small subunit ribosomal RNA", at positions 568 to 796 of the family's 1533-position model. The record is from RNAcentral.
UGUGUAGGCGGAAUGAUAAGUCAGUGGUGAAAUCCUACAGCUUAACUGUAGAACUGCCAUUGAUACUGUUGUUCUUGAGUACAUUUGAAGUGGGCGGAAUGUGUCAUGUAGCGGUGAAAUGCAUAGAGAUGACACAGAACACCGAUCGCGAAGGCAGCUCACUAAACUGUAACUGACGCUGAGGCACGAAAGCGUGGGGAUCAAACAGGAUUAGAUACCCUGGUAGUCC